GCCUGGGUAGCUCAGUUGGUAGAGCAUCAGACUUUUAAUCUGAGGGCCCAGGGUUCAAGUCCCUGUCCAGGCACUA
Molecule: transfer RNA, 76 nt
Filed under: Cervus elaphus hippelaphus
Lineage: Eukaryota; Metazoa; Chordata; Mammalia; Artiodactyla; Cervidae
Description: tRNA-Lys
Rfam family: tRNA
About the family: Transfer RNA (tRNA) molecules are approximately 80 nucleotides in length.
Source: RNAcentral